AGGGCAUAAUUUCCCUCCGAGGGUUGUGGUUAGGUAGAGGAGAAAGGGUUCAUAGCUGUUAUUGUGGAAACAUCAUAGAGCCCCCGAUAACAAUAACUAUUAUUUAUGGAGCACUCACUAAUGUGAUAAGCUUAUUAAUUUAUGGUGUAAUUUUCAUAUUAAAAAUUCCUUAAUAUAUUUUU
Molecule: unclassified non-coding RNA, 182 nt
Organism: Ursus americanus (American black bear)
Lineage: Eukaryota; Metazoa; Chordata; Mammalia; Carnivora; Ursidae
Source: Ensembl